RNAcentral lists this ribosomal RNA (468 nucleotides) under uncultured bacterium. RNAcentral's name for it is "partial 16S ribosomal RNA". It matches the Rfam family "Bacterial small subunit ribosomal RNA", at positions 28 to 507 of the family's 1533-position model. The record is from RNAcentral.
GACGAACGCUGGCGGCGUGCUUAACACAUGCAAGUCGAACGGAAAGGCCCUGCUUUUGUGGGGUGCUCGAGUGGCGAACGGGUGAGUAACACGUGAGUAACCUGCCCUUGACUUUGGGAUAACUUCAGGAAACUGGGGCUAAUACCGGAUAUGAUCUCCUGCUGCAUGGUGGGGGUUGGUAAGUUUCGGCGGUUGGGGAUGGACUCGCGGCUUAUCAGCUUGUUUGUGGGGUAGUGGCUUACCAAGGCUUUGACGGGUAGCCGGCCUGAGAGGGUGACCGGCCACAUUGGGACUGAGAUACGGCCCAGACUCCUACGGGAGGCAGCAGUGGGGAAUAUUGCACAAUGGGCGGAAGCCUGAUGCAGCAACGCCGCGUGCGGGAUGACGGCCUUCGGGUUGUAAACCGAUUUCGCCUGUGACGAAGCGUGAGUGACGGUAAUGGGUAAAGAAGCACCGGCUAACUACGUG